Non-coding RNA from Lolium perenne, 3064 nucleotides. The record is from RefSeq and is a predicted model, not a curated record. NCBI's taxonomy places the organism in Eukaryota, Viridiplantae, Streptophyta, Magnoliopsida, Poales, Poaceae.
ACCUGCAGCCGCCGCUCGGGUCUCCCGCAUUCAUCCCCUCCCCUGAUUCGGUGGUGCCACGGCGGACGGAUUCAUGGCGAGUUGCGGAGGCUGCGGAUUCAUGGCGACCUCACAGUGGCGCGAGCCGCUGCCGGCGAUGGAGAGGUGGAUCUCCGCAGGCAACGACAUGUUCACACCAUUAGCAGCAGCACCCUCUGCGUAGAUCUAUGGUAACCGACAAGGAGGAGAGGGACAGGACGGGAGGGGCAAGAAGCCCCGCGUCCUCAGCGAUGAUGAAGAUGGGGAGGAUGCAAAGAUGGCUUCUUCUUCAUCCAAGACCUGCAGGGGUUCAACCCAGAGAACGACAGCAGCAACAGGCACACCGAACCUGAUGGAGAGGGCUCGUUGGCAGAAGAUUUGGCUGGUGGGGUGGUCGCCCAACCUGGUGUCGAGAAGGCUCUACACAUUCUCUCCUGCAUCGUUCUUCUUGGUGACGGUUGAAGCAGUAAAGGCGUCGGUUCUCCUGCCAGUAGCAGCAGUGGCACGAGGAUGAGGGUGAGGUGUCGUGGCCAGCGUUCGGCCACUAUCGGAGAAGGUGGAGCAAGGGUGGAGGUUGCAGCACUGCAUGAAGCGAACUCUAAAUGCUAUUAUGUGUCAUCAACCUUCCCAUGCGCACCAGAAUAAGAAGUUUGAUGUUAUCGUAUAAACACAAUUAUCUCCAUGUUGGAAGUUGCUUCAGGAAGAAUAACAGGUUUGCUAUAAAACUUUGUCAACGGUUGAAGGGAAAGCAGAAAGUUCAUGCCUACUAAACUUGCUUCAUGAAGAAUAGCAGGUUUGCUACUAAUUCUGGUCGUCUUGGUGCAUCCCAGGUUUCUUACUAAUGUUGAUUUUUUUAAUGCAUUGGAGGUUUGCUACCAAAUUUCCGAAAAGAAUUAAUCCCUUUUUGAAUACCAUCUGUGGAGGUAUUAGCUGAAACCAGGGUAUUCAGAGAACACCUAAUAUAUUUGUGGACCAGUACUUGUUCUGGUGAUACAAGGAGGCUGGGUCUGAUCUGCUGUUACCCAAGCUUGCCAAGAAGGCUUCAUAGAGGUGAGGUAUUUGACCUAGAGAUCUGAACAUAUACUUUUAUAUGGUCCCCAUCCAGUAGCAAUGCAAGUUUUGUGUUUGCAUUUUUUUCUAUAUUCCCAUAGAGUUAUACUUUAGUAGUGUGUCUGCCUUAUGUGCCAUUCAGUGUUGAUGAUCAUAGUAUGCAGAAAAUGGCAAUGGUAUGGAUUAGUUAAAAUAAAGCAUCUAAAUUAGGAUAGGUAAGAUAAUUUUAUAAGCUCGCAGAGCAGUAAUUUAUUUCUUUGUAACGUGUUUAAAAAUAGGAGGGCAAUUUUGCAGCGGAUUUUCCAUUGCUUUGCCCCAUCGAUUCAUCAGAAUACUGCAAAAGGAAGGAUAAUUCCGCAUCCCGUAAUUCUUUUAUACUAUUAUAUAAUUUGUCGGCAAAUAGUCACUCGCCCUCUUUCUUGACCAGAAUAAAUGAUCACUAGAAAACUUACACUAAACCACGAUGGAUUUCUUGUGAACAGGCAUCAAAUUUAAAGUUUCUUCUUGAUAUGAAACAUUGCCCAACAUUUUUAGUAGCUGCUAGGUGCCUCCGAAGCUAAACUCAUAUGAAUUUAUUUCCAUUCACAUGAGAAAAUGAGGCAUAAUCUGUUUAUCUUCAUGUAUGUAGGCCAAAAAACAACAUGAUUGCUUGAUUGCAUAAUGUGUCUUUACGAACAAAUUAUUACCAUGUUAUGCAUGAAAUUAUUUGUAGCUGCAGUUCAGAUGUGAUAGUACCAGGAGCACUUGUGUCAAUAAUCACAAAUGGUUUUGCUGUACUAUUUAUAUGUUAAAAACCCCGUUCUAUAUCUUGCUUGCUUACUCUUUGGCUAGGCUUCUUUUUCUCUUGAUAGAUAGAUGCAUGACUCUGCAUAGAACUCAUUACAGACAAUUAUUGUUUCUUCCGUAGUUACUGCAGCCCAUAUACAAAGACCUGGAUUUGUUGUCCAUUAUUUGACUAUCUUGACAUACCAUUAGCUUCUAACGGAUUAUAAUUGAAUUUAUGGUUUUCUCCGGCAACUUAUGCCCAUGAGAGAUUAGAAUGCGAUUAUACAUGCUAAUAUUACUAUCCUUUAUAUCAACUAUGCUUGCUCAAAUGAUCCAAAAAAUGAAUGAACAACUGGAAUGCAAGAUCGUUGUUUGAAAGUAGUAGAAUUUUAAUAAAUAAUUUACCAUGUUUAGGUACAAUCUAAAUCACUGGUUUAUAAAAGGAUUAAAACCCCAAACCCAAUAUCAAAACUGGUCGGUGUGUAGCUUCAAUUAUGUGCAACCUGAUUGCGGUUCUACCAUGGUGAUGACGUGAAAUAGACCACAUUUUACUAGGCUUUAUUAUUCAAUAGUUAUACGUACAAGGAUCUUAGUUUCUUGUGGCAUUAAUUCUUGCUGACAAGGGUGAGUUGAGCAAAGUAAGACAUGUGGGGCGUGAGCUCCAAGGUAAUUUUGGGGGAAUUUACAGACGGUAUGAUCCACGUCCAUUACUUAUUGCAGUUAUUGGCUCUCUUUCUAUGUAGGUUAUUUUUGUGCUAGCUUUAAGCAUUAUUUCUCUUUGCGUUGUGACAAUAUAUGACACUCUAUGGUCUCCACUAUUAUGCAGAUUAGUGUCUUACUGGAAACAAAUGCCCCUAUAGAGUCUACAGGGCAAGGUGGCUACCUAUCCCUGAAAUGGCACAUAACGAUCAGCUUUCCUACUUUCAAUCUAUAUAUUACUUCAAAAAAGAUUCAUUGACAUCACAGUGCUUGCUUUCACGCUCAUUGGCCAAACUUCAAGGGAAAGAUGCCAAUACUAGAAAUUGUGGUGGAACCAUGGCGUCACACUGUAUCUAUAUCGCUUGUGCUUUCGAGUGGUGAAUCGGGACAGGCCCAGCCCCCACGACGUGAACCACUUUUGUUGUUACUGCUUUUGUUAAGUCCAGAAAAUCCAUGGUGUGCACCUAUCUCGUGAUGUUUGCAGCCUGUUAGGCAGGUACAAAUGUUGGUUAUGUGGCUUGACUCGCACUGA